UACGAAGGGUGCAAGCGUUGCUCGGAAUUAUUGGGCGUAAAGGGUAGGUAGGUGGUGAUAUUUGUCUGGGGUGAAAUCCCUGAGCUUAACUCAGGAAGUGCCUUGGAAACGGUAUCACUAGAGUACUGGAGAGGUUCGUAGAAUUCCUGGUGUAGCGGUGAAAUGCGUAGAGAUCAGGAGGAAUAUCAGAGGCGAAGGCGACGAACUGGACAGUUACUGACACUCAACUACGAAAGCGUGGGGAGCAAACAGG
Molecule: ribosomal RNA, 253 nt
Filed under: uncultured bacterium
Lineage: Bacteria
Description: partial 16S ribosomal RNA
Rfam family: Bacterial small subunit ribosomal RNA
Source: RNAcentral